RNAcentral lists this long non-coding RNA (3238 nucleotides) under Bos taurus (domestic cattle). RNAcentral describes it as "long non-coding RNA NONBTAT030055". The stretch from base 1215 to 1286 matches the Rfam family "tRNA". The record is from RNAcentral. Lineage: Eukaryota; Metazoa; Chordata; Mammalia; Artiodactyla; Bovidae.
CAUUCUAUACAUUAAUAACAUGCUUAAUAAACAUUUGUUAAUGUGACUUAACAUUUACCUUAAAUGUUAUAGUGGGGCUUGCUUGUUUUUUAAAAAAUUAAAUUCUUAUUUUUAAAAAUGUUUUUGUGGUGUGAUGUGUGUGUGUGUGUGUGUGUGUGUGUGUGUGUGUGUGUUUAUUUUGGCUGUGCUGCAUGGCUUGUGGAAUCUUUGUUCCCCAACCAGGGACUGAACCAGGCUGCUUGGCAGUGAAAGAACAGAGCCCUAGCCACUGGGCUGCUGCGGGAUUCUCUGUGCUUUCUAUUUUAAUCUCACACGUGGCUUUUUACAAUCAGCCCCAGAACACUUUCUUUUUUUUAAGACUUUUUAUACCAUUCUUGACUAUGUAAAAUUCUAGUUGAAUUGUUGCAUUUUAGUGUAUCUCUAGAGAUAAUGAAACUUUUUCUGUUAAUCUUGGAUAAACCUUUCUAACAGUAGUUUCAGCAUCUUAUCAAGUAUUUCUAUAAAUACUUUUCAGAAAACCAAAGCAAAAUAAAACUAAUAGUGCUUCUCCAGGGCUUUUGUUAUCAAAGUAAUUUAUUUGAGGUCACCCUGUUUUUUAUUACAAUUGGGUAUUCACAAAACUGAGACAGUAUCCUAAGGUGUCCUUGUGUGAGCUGUGUAUUUUAAGCAAUGAGUGUUCUGUACUAACAAGGUUUGCAUUUUUAGAGUAAUAAAAGUUAUCAAGUACUGUUUAAUUUUGGCAUCCAUUGUUCCAUACUUUGUUAUGCCAGUUAUAUUUCUUUUAAUCCCAUCUAUUUAAAAUGUUUGCUGUAUGUCUUUAUAAGAGAUGCAAUGUAGGAUUGGAAAUUGGGAGACCCAGAUUUUAUCCUUUGGCUCUCUAGUUAGAUGAAUCUAACUGAAGAAUUUGGGCCGGAUCUUUACGGACUCUUCAUUUUUAAAUUCUGGAGUUUAUUUAUUUUAAGUCUCUGCUGUAUCAGAAGUAGUGCCAGAUGGAACACACAGUCUUCAAACUAGAUUGGAAGGUUAUGGCAGUCCAGAUUCCUAGUUCCGGAGACUGAGAACCCCGGCACGGUGAUGUGGUCCAUGAGCCCCACAGCUAAGUGGGAGGUGUGGCGGGGAUGGGGCUUUCCCAUCUCUGCUGCUCCACACUUUGCUCAGAAUAGUUGUACCUGGUGUUUAUUUGAUUAAAGAAACACUGAUUAUCUUAUACAACUUCCCUGGUGGCUCAAAUGGUAAAGCGUCUGCCUGCAAUGCGGGAGACCUGGGUUCAUUCCCUGGGUUGGGAAGAUAUCCUGGAGAAGGAAAUGGCAACCCACUGCAGUAUUCUUGCCUGGAUUAUUUUAUACCUAUGAGGCAUUUUUAUUAGGAAUGUUGCUAGCUGCCAAGAUGCAUAAAUGAGGGAAUAUGGAGCCCAGCAAAUCUGGGUCCACAAUCUAGCUGCCCGCUUAGUUCUGCGUCCUCAGGUAAGUAGUUGUAAGGAUUAAAUGAGCUACUAAAGAUUAUACUUAGCAUGGUGCCUGGUAUAUAGGAGGCCAUUGUAGAGAUUAUGAUGGAGGUAGAAAGGGAUUAAGAUUUACAGAACUCUUUCAUCUGUUGUCUUGCUUGGCUCACAUCCUGUGAGAGGGAUAAUUCUGAGUUCUCCAGUGAGGCAGCGGCUCUGAAGGUGUGGGGCUUCUCCUGCGCCCUGCAGCUGUUGGUCUUAGCCAGCACUGUUGACGCUUUGUGUUUCCCAGGCAGUGUUUAAGUAAUUUUUGUGUCCUAGCUGAUUUGCCAUGUAAGUCAGGUGUACUGUUGUUAUUUUUACUGUACAGACAAGAGAAAUCAGGCACACAAAGGUUUGGUUAACUUUCCAGUGACUGAGCCUGUAGAGUUGGGAUUUGAGUGCAGGCAGUUUCUGUGUCGUUCCUUUAUUUUGUGUGGCCUUUUGGGAUGGUAAAGAGCCAUGUUGCAAACUGGAAAGCUCUAUGUACGAUGCAGUGCUGUUUUAUCUGAUGUGGAGAUUACAGUCCACUGGGGAUAUGUCUUCUCCACGCUAAACCUCCUCACUUCUCCCAUCUGCUAGACGUUGCCCUUAGCAUUUCCGCCUUUUUUUUCCCUUGAUAAUACUGCAGCUUGUCAGUAGUCUUCCUCUAAUGUAUCCCCAGAAAUGGAUACAGUAGAUCCAUUAUACUGCUUAGAUAUGGCCUGAGUAGUACAGAAUCUAGGAACCAUUUAAUGUUGCUUACUGUUGUAGUGGCUUUUUAGCAACGUAGUAACUGGUUUAAGUUUAUGGUCAACCUAAACUCCUGGAUUUGGGGAGGUUUUUUUUUUUUUAAAGCUAUCUUCUGGAAAUUGUCUUAUCCCCAUUUUAUAGUUUUACUCUGCCUUCCGGCAGUUACUAGAAUUAAAUGAAAGAGUGAGUAUAAAGUUCUUGGCACAGUGACCAUCAGGUGGUGAUACCUCAGUAAAUGGUGGUGGUUUUCCUGUUACAUAUAUUUAUCUAAAUUUUUCCUAGUCAGAAGUUAUAUGGAUAGAUUCUUCUGUUUUUGUGAUUCAAGAUCAUUGGUAAUGAUAAAAAUUUGUGAUCAAGUUGCUGAGCAGCUAUAUUUGAGUAGAAAUAAAUGUAAGUGAAGUUAAGUUUAAGGAAGGAUUGUAGAGAAAUGGGAAGUAACAUUUGAGAAUCAUAUUCUCAUGCUUCUGCUGUUCGUUUUAAAUAAUAUUAGGUAAUUUUGGUCACUGUCGUUUGGUUUUACAUGUUACAUGUGUGGGAGAAGAAAAGUUUGUAUUAUUGCAGUACUAUCCUCUGCAAAGCCUUUUGAAAUAUAUAAUGUCUAGGACUUCCCUCAUGGUCCAUUGGUUAAGAAGUUGGAUUUCCACUGCAGGGGGUACAAGUUCAAUCCUUGAUCAGGGAACUAAGAUCCUGCUUGCUGUGUGGUGCGGCCAAAAAAUAAUGUGAUGUUUACACCACUCCCCCCCAAAAAAAUCAUUGAUAAAAAUAUAGAUUAACUAGAGGCUGAGACAUAACAGAAUCUCCUUCCAGGCAGACGGAGACUUAGAUGUGGGAUUUUAUCUCACAUCUAGAGAUGGGGGAGAAGCAGUCUCUUAGGUUUGUAUAGCUCACGUCUCGACAUCAUAUCAAAUACAGAAGAAUGUGUGUGUGUGUAUGUAAUUUUUGUCAUCCCUUGCAAGUGGAAAGCUAUUGAACUUCAAAUUUAUUUCUUAUAACCUAACAAUAUUUCUGUCAACCUUUAGCAUAGAU